UAAGGAAUAUUGGUCAAUGGACGCAAGUCUGAACCAGCCAUGCCGCGUGGAGGAUGAAGGUCCUCUGGAUUGUAAACUUCUUUUAUCUGGGACGAAAAAGGGUCUUUCUAGAUCAACUGACGGUACCAGAUGAAUAAGCACCGGCUAACUCCGUGCCAGCAGCCGCGGUAAUACGGAGGGUGCAAGCGUUAUCCGGAUUCACUGGGUUUAAAGGGUGCGUAGGUGGGUUGGUAAGUCAGUGGUGAAAUCCCCGAGCUUAAACUUGGGAACUGCCAUUGAUACUAUCAGUCUUGAAUAUUGUGGAGGUUAGCGGAAUAUGUCAUGUAGCGGUGAAAUGCUUAGAUAUGACAUAGAACACCAAUUGCGAAGGCAGCUGGCUACGCAUAUAUUGACACUGAGGCACGAAAGCGUGGGGAUCAAACAGGAUUAGAUACCCUGGUAGUCCACGCCCUAAACUAUGGAUACUCGACAUCAGCG
RNAcentral lists this ribosomal RNA (477 nucleotides) under uncultured Bacteroidota bacterium. RNAcentral's name for it is "bacterial SSU rRNA". It matches the Rfam family "Bacterial small subunit ribosomal RNA", at positions 355 to 828 of the family's 1533-position model. Lineage: Bacteria; Pseudomonadati; Bacteroidota. The record is from RNAcentral.